Long non-coding RNA from Mustela erminea (ermine), 658 nucleotides. RefSeq lists it as uncharacterized. The record is from RefSeq and is a predicted model, not a curated record. Lineage: Eukaryota; Metazoa; Chordata; Mammalia; Carnivora; Mustelidae. The transcript has 5 exons.
GUCCUGGAUUUUCCCACCACCCAGUUGCUAAUGACUUUUGUUUUGAGCACCGGAGUUCUUUCCAUCUGCAUCUGGAAGACAUCGAAUGUGCCCAGAAAGAAAAUGGAAGACGAGGGAGGUCAACUGGUUUGUCCAAGGUCACGUGGGAAAAUUCACUCGUAGGAGGAGAUGAGUCAGCAGAACCGGAAAUUCUCCCUGCACAAGCCCUUCUGAUCCCGUGGGCUGGGCGUGUGCGGCACCGAGCGAGGGCUGGGAAGGAACCGGCUUCUCCCCUGGAACUACUUUGAGAGGUGAACAAUAAUGUCACUAAGAAACGUAUUGUUCAGCUACCAGUCAAAGAUUUCAUUUGACUCAGAGGUUAUGAUGGGGAGAACAAGAAGCAGAAGAAAACGAAAGCUACUCUGGAUUAUUAAACGCCAUCCAAGCUCAUGGAUAUGCUUUACUGAAAGAACAGAAGACAAAGAGGAGGUGGUGGCCAAAAAAAAAAUUCUUGAAGCUGAUUUUGAAGAGGUAGAUGACUCAGUUAAAUCUGCAUGAGUAAAGAGGUCCAGAGACAAGGCAGAAACAUCUAAGAAGUGCUACUGCUUUCAUCGGUAAAGAAUACUUAAUAUUUCGUGGACAAUAGAUUGAAAAACACUGCUCUGUGAGUAGGCAGAAG